RNAcentral lists this long non-coding RNA (908 nucleotides) under Zea mays. RNAcentral describes it as "long non-coding RNA (ZMAY_LNC005570)". The record is from RNAcentral. Lineage: Eukaryota; Viridiplantae; Streptophyta; Magnoliopsida; Poales; Poaceae.
UUGCAAGAGUGCACUUCUUGCAUACUAGGUAUAUGCACGUGCGUUGCAACGGACGGCACUUGUACACGCAUAGAUCAUUAUUUAGUGUUACUAUCAAGAAUCAACUUAACAAUCAUAACAAAUAUCAAAGUCUGCCAUUUCGAACAAUCAAAAUGAAUGCCUCACGAUUGAAGGCCCUUUCUUUACCUCCUCUGUUUUUACUCCACGCCUCACGCCUGUUUAUCUAGAAACAUAAAUAUCACUUGCUCUGUUCUUAGUACUCACUUCCAUUCCCUGUGCCCAAAGGGUUUAAAAGUUUAUCUAGAAAGAAAAAAUAUUGGACACCCUCCUAAUGCAGAAGUUAAUCACAGGUGCUACAGACAUCAUCAUACCAGCCAAAUCAGAAAGAAAGUUAAAAAAAGAACUUGCUUUCUGCUCUUUCUGAAUUCGACGGUGCCAUUGGUUUGUGUUCAGAAAAUGGGAACUGUAUGUAUGUUCUGGCCUCUGCAUCCUCAGCGCACUUGGCAUCUCUUUCGUUACCACUGCACGUCAUCGUAAGGUCGAUGGUUUCAGCCUUUGAAGUAAUAAGGGGUGUUUGAAUGCGCUAGAUAUAUUACUUAACUGUUUAAAUUAGCUAAAGACAUCAGCUAAUAGUUCAACUAUUAGUUAUUUUCAGCAAAUUAGCUAGUAGUUAACUAACUAUUUAUUAGCUACCUAAUUCUCCUAGCGAUUUUUUAUUAAUACGAUGCAAGCUACCAAAAGAUAUUACAUGGUAGAAAUAUUAAGAAUAAUGCACAUGUAAUCGACUGAAAAGUGGACCUACACAAUAAUCAUUAGAAUGACAUCUCAGUAAGCAAUGAAUCCAAGUGUUUGCACGAUACUAAAAAGAGCACAACAAAAGUGAAGUUGUAUCGUACCAGGUAGCUUGC